Molecule: ribosomal RNA, 253 nt
Filed under: uncultured bacterium
Lineage: Bacteria
Description: partial 16S ribosomal RNA
Rfam family: Bacterial small subunit ribosomal RNA
Source: RNAcentral
UACAGAGGGUGCGAGCGUUAAUCGGAUUUACUGGGCGUAAAGCGUGCGUAGGUGGUUUGAUAAGUCGGUUGUGAAAGCCCCGGGCUCAACCUGGGAAUUGCGGCCGAUACUGUCAGACUAGAAAACGGUAGAGGGAGGUGGAACUCCAGGUGUAGCGGUGAAAUGCGUAGAUAUCUGGAAGAACACCGAUGGCGAAGGCAGCCUCCUGGGCCUGUUUUGACACUGAGGCACGAAAGCGUGGGUAGCAAACAGG